AGAGUUUGAUCCUGGCUCAGAACGAACGCUGGCGGCGUGUUUAAGACAUGCAAGUCGCACGGUGUCAUUUUGGUAGCAAUACUUGGAUGGCAUAGUGGCGCACGGGUGAGUAACACGUGAAUUACAUGCCCUGUAGAGGGGGAUAGCCCAGGGAAACUUGGAUUAAUACCCCAUGGUCUCGCAAGAGUAUAGGUGGCCGCAAGGCUGUCGCUACAGGAUUGGUUCGCGCCCUAUCAGCUUGUUGGCGGGGUAACGGCCCACCAAGGCUACGACGGGUACCUGGUCUGAGAGGACGAUCAGGCACACUGGAACUGAGACACGGUCCAGACACCUACGGGUGGCAGCAGUCGAGAAUAAUUCACAAUGGGGGCAACCCUGAUGGUGCAACGCCGCGUGGAGGAUGAAGGUCUUCGGAUUGUAAACUCCUGUCAUCCGGGAGCAAGACCUGACGGUUAACAGCCGGCAGGGUUGAUAGUACCGGAAGAGGAAGGGACGGCUAACUUCGUGCCAGCAGCCGCGGUAAUACGGAGGAUGCGAGCGUUAUCCGGAUUCAUUGGGUUUAAAGGGUGCGUAGGCGGACUAUUAAGUCAGUGGUGAAAUCCUGCAGCUUAACUGCAGAACUGCCAUUGAUACUGAUAGCCUUGAGUUUGGUUAAGGUAGGCGGAAUGUGUAAUGUAGCGGUGAAAUGCUUAGAUAUUACACAGAACACCAAUUGCGUAGGCAGCUUACUGAGCCGACACUGACGCUGAGGCACGAAAGCGUGGGGAUCGAACAGGAUUAGAUACCCUGGUAGUCCACGCCGUAAACGAUGAUUACUCGCUGUUGGCGAUACACUGUCAGCGGCUAAGCAAAAGCAAUAAGUAAUCCACCUGGGGAGUACGGCCGCAAGGUUGAAACUCAAAGGAAUUGACGGGGGCCCGCACAAGCGGAGGAACAUGUGGUUUAAUUCGAUGAUACGCGAGGAACCUUACCUGGGCUUAAAUGUAGAGUGCAUUUUUUAGAGAUAGAAAUUCCCUUCGGGGCUUUCUGCAAGGUGCUGCAUGGUUGUCGUCAGCUCGUGCCGUGAGGUGUCGGGUUAAGUCCCAUAACGAGCGCAACCCUUAUCGUUAGUUGCCAUCUGGUAAUGCAGGGGACUCUAGCGAAACUGCCACCGUAAGGUGAGAGGAAGGUGGGGAUGACGUCAAAUCAGCACGGCCCUUAUGUCCAGGGCUACACACGUGUUACAAUGGUCGGUACAGAGGGUCGCCAACCCGCGAGGGGGAGCCAAUCCCUUAAAACCGGUCGUAGUCCGGAUUGCAGUCUGCAACUCGACUGCAUGAAGUCGGAAUCGCUAGUAAUCGCGAAUCAGCCAUGUCGCGGUGAAUACGUUCCCGGGUCUUGUACACACCGCCCGUCACACCAUGGAAGUUGACUGCACCAGAAGUAGGUAGCCUAACCGCAAGGAGGGCGCUUACCACGGUGUGCUCAAUGACUGGGGUGAAGUCGUAACAAGGUAACC
Molecule: ribosomal RNA, 1498 nt
Filed under: uncultured bacterium
Lineage: Bacteria
Description: partial 16S rRNA
Rfam family: Bacterial small subunit ribosomal RNA
Source: RNAcentral